RNAcentral lists this ribosomal RNA (551 nucleotides) under uncultured Actinomycetes bacterium. Its description in RNAcentral is "bacterial SSU rRNA". It matches the Rfam family "Bacterial small subunit ribosomal RNA", at positions 254 to 817 of the family's 1533-position model. Lineage: Bacteria; Bacillati; Actinomycetota; Actinomycetes. The record is from RNAcentral.
GGGGUAAUGGCCUACCAAGGCGACGACGGGUAGCCGACCUGAGAGGGUGACCGGCCACACUGGGACUGAGACACGGCCCAGACUCCUACGGGAGGCAGCAGUGGGGAAUAUUGCACAAUGGGCGCAAGCCUGAUGCAGCGACGCCGCGUGAGGGAUGACGGCCUUCGGGUUGUAAACCUCUUUCAGCAGGGACGAAGCGUGAGUGACGGUACCUGCAGAAGAAGCACCGGCUAACUACGUGCCAGCAGCCGCGGUAAUACGUAGGGUGCGAGCGUUGUCCGGAUUUACUGGGCGUAAAGAGCUCGUAGGCGGUCUGUCGCGUCGUUUGUGAAAACCCGGGGCUCAACUUCGGGCUUGCAGGCGAUACGGGCAGACUUGAGUGUUUCAGGGGAGACUGGAAUUCCUGGUGUAGCGGUGAAAUGCGCAGAUAUCAGGAGGAACACCGGUGGCGAAGGCGGGUCUCUGGGCAACAACUGACGCUGAGGAACGAAAGCGUGGGUAGCAAACAGGAUUAGAUACCCUGGUAGUCCACGCCGUAAACGGUGGGCGCU